AAACUUUCAACAACGGAUCUCUUGGUUCCGGCAUCGAUGAAGAACGCAGCGAAAUGCGAUACGUAAUGUGAAUUGCAAAUUCAGUGAAUCAUCGAGUCUUUGAACGCACAUUGCGCCCCCUGGUAUUCCGGGGGGCAUGCCUGUCCGAGCG
RNAcentral lists this ribosomal RNA (151 nucleotides) under Penicillium commune. Its description in RNAcentral is "5.8S ribosomal RNA". It matches the Rfam family "5.8S ribosomal RNA". From Rfam's summary of the family: 5.8S ribosomal RNA (5.8S rRNA) is a component of the large subunit of the eukaryotic ribosome. It is transcribed by RNA polymerase I as part of the 45S precursor that also contains 18S and 28S rRNA. Functionally, it is thought that 5.8S rRNA may be involved in ribosome translocation. The record is from RNAcentral. Lineage: Eukaryota; Fungi; Ascomycota; Eurotiomycetes; Eurotiales; Aspergillaceae.